ACUGUGUGAGGCUCUGGGCAGCAUGUCACAUGGUCAGGCCAUCUCCAUCAGAUGAAAUCAUCUGGGUGGCAGUCCACAGGCAAGAGGUUAUACUCUGGGCCUUUAAUUAUUUAAGAGACAUGGGAUAGGAGCAUCAAACUCUCUGAGCGAUGGAAGUGCCUGCUUCAGGAGCAUCCAUCCAUCCACCCUCAUCACUGGCGCCACACUAGACACUUUCCCAACACUCAUGACUACCCUGCUUCAAAGUGCUGAUUCAGCAGCUUCUUGGACUUUGGGUUAAGAACGUCUGCGCCACUUAGAUUUCCCUCCUCCUGGUGCUGAAGUUUCUCCCUCUGAAGAAGGAUCUUGAAUCUGACCAUUAGGGCCCAACUACCAAUUCUGGGACAUUAAACAACCACAUGGGAUUCCAGAGGAAUGAGGUGACCAA
Meriones unguiculatus (Mongolian gerbil) is the source of this 427-nucleotide long non-coding RNA. RefSeq lists it as uncharacterized. NCBI's taxonomy places the organism in Eukaryota, Metazoa, Chordata, Mammalia, Rodentia, Muridae. The record is from RefSeq and is a predicted model, not a curated record. The transcript is spliced from 3 exons.